RNAcentral lists this ribosomal RNA (253 nucleotides) under uncultured bacterium. Its description in RNAcentral is "partial 16S ribosomal RNA". It matches the Rfam family "Bacterial small subunit ribosomal RNA", at positions 524 to 776 of the family's 1533-position model. The record is from RNAcentral.
CACGUAGGGCGCAAGCGUUGUCCGGAAUUAUUGGGCGUAAAGAGUGUGUAGGCGGUGCUCCAAGUCUGGUGUGAAAUCUCCCGGCUUAACUGGGAGGGUGCAUUAGAAACUGGAAUGCUAGAGGAUGGGAGAGGUAAGCGGAAUUCCUGGUGUAGCGGUGAAAUGCGUAGAUAUCAGGAGGAACACCUGUGGUGUAGACAGCUUACUGGACCAUUUCUGACGCUGAGACACGAAAGCGUGGGUAGCAAACAGG